GACGGAAGGGGCUAGCGUUGUUCGGAAUGACUGGGAGUAAAGGGCGCGUAGGCGGUAUUUUAAGUGAGGCGUGAAAGCCCUGGGCUUAACCCAGGAGGUGCGUUUCAUACUGGAAUACUUGAGUGCGAGAGAGGAAAGUGGAAUUCCUAGUGUAGAGGUGAAAUUCGUAGAUAUUAGGAAGAACACCAGAGGCGAAGGCGGCUUUCUGGCUCGCAACUGACGCUGAGGCGCGAAAGCGUGGGGAGGAAUCAGG
RNAcentral lists this ribosomal RNA (253 nucleotides) under uncultured bacterium. RNAcentral's name for it is "partial 16S ribosomal RNA". It matches the Rfam family "Bacterial small subunit ribosomal RNA", at positions 524 to 776 of the family's 1533-position model. The record is from RNAcentral.